GGGCGAUUAGCUCAGUUGGGAGAGCACCUGCCUUACAAGCAGRGGGUCACUGGUUCGAACCCGGUAUCGCCCACCA
RNAcentral lists this transfer RNA (76 nucleotides) under Vibrio cholerae. RNAcentral's name for it is "tRNA-Val". The record is from RNAcentral. Lineage: Bacteria; Pseudomonadati; Pseudomonadota; Gammaproteobacteria; Vibrionales; Vibrionaceae.